GCCGCCGUAGCUCAGCUGGCAGUGUGCUUGAACACGCCAAAAGCGAUCGCCUUGUAAGCGAUAGGUCGUGGGUUCGAUCCCCACCGGCGGCUCCA
This 95-nucleotide transfer RNA is filed under the name Hadesarchaea archaeon. RNAcentral describes it as "tRNA-Thr". It matches the Rfam family "tRNA". From Rfam's summary of the family: Transfer RNA (tRNA) molecules are approximately 80 nucleotides in length. RNAcentral also lists the same sequence under 1 other name. Lineage: Archaea; Methanobacteriati; Hadarchaeota (SeqCode); Hadarchaeia (SeqCode). The record is from RNAcentral.